Molecule: ribosomal RNA, 830 nt
Filed under: Planktothrix tepida PMC 1027.18
Lineage: Bacteria; Bacillati; Cyanobacteriota; Cyanophyceae; Oscillatoriales; Microcoleaceae
Also listed under: 7 other names
Description: bacterial SSU rRNA
Rfam family: Bacterial small subunit ribosomal RNA
Source: RNAcentral
GUGAGUAACACGUAAGAACCUGCCUGUUGGACGGGGACAACAGUUGGAAACGACUGCUAAUCCCGGAUGAGCCGAGAGGUAAAAGAUUAAUCGCCAACAGAGGGGCUUGCGUCUGAUUAGCUAGUUGGUGUGGUAAGAGCGCACCAAGGCGACGAUCAGUAGCUGGUCUGAGAGGAUGAUCAGCCACACUGGGACUGAGACACGGCCCAGACUCCUACGGGAGGCAGCAGUGGGGAAUUUUCCGCAAUGGGCGAAAGCCUGACGGAGCAAGACCGCGUGGGGGAGGAAGGUUCUUGGAUUGUCAACCCCUUUUCUCAGGGAAGAAGAAAGUGACGGUACCUGAGGAAGAAGCAUCGGCUAACUCCGUGCCAGCAGCCGCGGUAAUACGGAGGAUGCAAGCGUUAUCCGGAAUGAUUGGGCGUAAAGAGUCCGUAGGUGGCCCUUCAAGUCUGCUGUUAAAGAGCGAGGCUUAACUUCGUAAAAGCAGUGGAAACUGGAGAGCUAGAGUGUAGUAGGGGCAGAGGGAAUUCCUGGUGUAGCGGUGAAAUGCGUAGAGAUCAGGAAGAACACCGGUGGCGAAAGCGCUCUGCUGGGCUACAACUGACACUGAGGGACGAAAGCUAGGGGAGCGAAUGGGAUUAGAUACCCCAGUAGUCCUAGCGGUAAACGAUGGAAACUAGGUGUGGCCUGUAUCGACCCGGGCCGUGCCGGAGCAAACGCGUUAAGUUUCCCGCCUGGGGAGUACGCACGCAAGUGUGAAACUCAAAGGAAUUGACGGGGGCCCGCACAAGCGGUGGAGUAUGUGGUUUAAUUCGAUGCAACGCGAAGAA